AUAAGGUUGAGGAAGCAGAGGUGGCCCCUCUGCUCUGUGUGUGGGUCUGUGUACUCCUUUCCCGUCAGAGCUGGCCCAGCACAGCCAAAAAAGCGGUUCCUUGGCAGGGCUUAAUGGCAGGAUGAUGUAGUCUGUUGUGACUAGUGCAUUCCUUUCAGUCCAGACAAUUAACAGCUGAAGAAAAUAUGACAAGACACACGCAAAGAGGUUGGGAGACGGGGGGAAGAAAUGCGCCAGAAAGGAGCUGAGUUGCCUUCUUGUGUAAACUGCCAGAUCUCCUCUUCCCUCCUCUCCCCCUCCCUCCUCACUACUCUGCUCCAGAACUGUUUCCCCGACCCCCCCCUUUCUGUCUGCUGAAGGCCAGGAGUGAUCUGUUAACUGUACACCACUGACUGGGAGGCCAAAGCAGCUCAUGGUGCUUAAUGUUAGGCACCCAAAAGUGAAAAAGUUGUGGCCAUAAUGCUGGUGUGUGCAUGGGCAUGCACAACACCUCCCUGCCCCCCACACCCAGUGAAUCACGUUCUUCAUUUGAUUGCACUCUUGCAACUUCACUGAAGUCAAAGGAGUUACACUGGUAUUCUGUUUAUUGACUAAACCACAAGGAUCCCUGCCCAAAGUACCAGGCGGUCUACGCUUGAAUGAUUUUGAUUUUCUAACAUCAGCCCUGGGGUUUAUUUGAAAAAUAGCCAAAAAGUUUCCUGCCGUUCUUUCCAGCUAUUGACAAAUGAUUGCCAGAUGUGAGAUCUUUGCAGUGCUCUUUCCCCUUCGCAAACCUGCAGCGAUGGGAUAUUCGAUUCUCCCUUGCCCAUUUCAUCUCCUUUCCACAUCUGCCAGGGACACACAGGCAAUACAUCCCUACAUGAGAGUUUAAAGUUUAUUCAGCUCCUUCUCCGUCCUCCCUACCCCCACCUCCAUGUGGUAGCAGCAGCAAAGGAUGAGGUGGCAAAAUGCUUUUGAGCAACAGAAAUGACAGUAUCCGGAUCACCAGUAUACAUAGCAUACACCAGUGUAAUCCUUUCCAGUUACUGGUUGCAUUUACUUUUUCUUUCCUCUUGUUGCAUGCCCUGCAGACAGAGCAAUCGUCUGGUUUAGUAGCAAAAUCUCAUUAAAUGAAAGUUUGUAUAUAAAAAUAAAAUACUGAUGACUAUAGCACUGGCACUGUUUAAAAAAAUUGCAUUAAUAUAUAACUUAUGCAUCAGGCGCCCCUUCCUACCUGAUCACAAGAAGUCCUUUUGGAGCUGUGCAGUGAUUAACAUAAAAUUUAGGACAGCAACCGGGCAUUUUCAUGUCAAUGUGAAGCUGUAGCACUCU
Long non-coding RNA from Mauremys reevesii (Reeves's turtle), 1311 nucleotides. RefSeq lists it as uncharacterized. The record is from RefSeq and is a predicted model, not a curated record. NCBI's taxonomy places the organism in Eukaryota, Metazoa, Chordata, Testudines, Geoemydidae. The transcript is spliced from 6 exons.